GACGAACGCUGGCGGCGUGCUUAACACAUGCCAGUCGAACGGUGAAGCGCUUUCCUUUUUGGUUGGUGUGGAUGAGUGGCGAACGGGUGAGUAACACGUGAGUAACCUGCCCCCUUCUUCUGGAUAACCGCAUGAAAGUGUGGCUAAUACGGGAUAUUCUGCGCCUGCUGCAUGGUGGGUGUGGGAAAGAUUGUGCCUUUGGGUGUUUUCGGUGGGGGAUGGGCUCGCGGCCUAUCAGCUUGUUGGUGGGGUGAUGGCCUACCAAGGCGGUGACGGGUAGCCGGCCUGAGAGGGUGGACGGUCACACUGGGACUGAGACACGGCCCAGACUCCUACGGGAGGCAGCAGUGGGGAAUAUUGCACAAUGGGCGCAAGCCUGAUGCAGCGACGCCGCGUGAGGGAGGGAGGCCUUCGGGUUGUGAACCUCUUUCGCCAGUGAAGCAGGCCUGCUCCUUGUGGGUGGGUUGACGGUAGCUGGAUAAGAAGCGCCGGCUAACUACGUG
This 503-nucleotide ribosomal RNA is filed under the name uncultured bacterium. RNAcentral's name for it is "partial 16S ribosomal RNA". It matches the Rfam family "Bacterial small subunit ribosomal RNA", at positions 28 to 507 of the family's 1533-position model. The record is from RNAcentral.